GAUGAACGCUGGCGGCGUGCCUAAUACAUGCAAGUCGAACGAACAGACGCGGCUCUUGCUCCUCUGACGUUUGCCGCGGACGGGUGUGUAACGCGUGGAUCCUCUCCCUAUCUGUCUGGUAUCAUUACGGGACUCCGGAGCUUAUACCGUAUGAUCUCUUGAUCCGCAUGGUUCAUUGGUGAAAGUCGGUUUUGCUGUCACUUCUCGAUGGUUCCGCGCCUCAUUGACUAGUUGGUACGGUAACGGCUUACCAAGGCUACGCUGCGUAGCCGACGUUCCAGGGGGAAGGGGCACACUGGAGCUGAGAGACGGCACAGAGUCCUACGGGAGGCAGCAGUAGCGAAGCGACCGCAAUGGGCGAAAUCCUGACGGAGCGACGGCGCGUGAGUGAUGAAGGUCUGCGUAUCGUAAAACGCUGUUAUUAGUGAAGAACAAAUGUGUAAGUAACGAUGCGCGUCUGGACGUUAUCUAAACAGAAAGCCACGGCUAACUACGU
RNAcentral lists this ribosomal RNA (496 nucleotides) under uncultured bacterium. RNAcentral describes it as "partial 16S ribosomal RNA". It matches the Rfam family "Bacterial small subunit ribosomal RNA", at positions 28 to 506 of the family's 1533-position model. The record is from RNAcentral.